Molecule: unclassified non-coding RNA, 570 nt
Filed under: Bombus terrestris (buff-tailed bumblebee)
Lineage: Eukaryota; Metazoa; Arthropoda; Insecta; Hymenoptera; Apidae
Description: misc RNA ENSBTSG00005033824.1
Source: RNAcentral
UCUCCUCUGAUCAUUCCCCGUGAUAGUAACAGUCAGUUCAACUAUCAUCGAGAAUACACCUAAUGGCUCCAUUCAUAACCAACACACCAACUGGCAGCUCUUUAGAGAAAUCUUCACACACACAACUUCAGCCUCAACUUCACUAAAAACCAAUGAAGAAAUCGAAGCAGCCACGGAAUACCUAAACACGAGCAUAAUAAGCGCUAUCCGCUUCUCCACACCGGCAAUAACGUCCAUCAGCAAUCACGAAUACUCCCAGUACAUAUUAAAAAAAAUAGCAGAAAAACGUAGACUAAGAAGGAUAUGGCAGACCCAUAGAACACCGGAGGACAAACGCAAACUAAACAACGCAACUAGAAAACUAUCCAAAACCAUAAAAAACUAGAAUAAUGACCGUUUUCACAAAUAUCUCGCCAGCCUGUCCCCCACAGCCGACUCUAACUACUCACUAUGGAAAGCCUCCAGGAAACUCACGCGUCUCCCACAAAUAAUACCUCCAAUCCGUCGCCCGCAAGGCGGAUGGGCGCGUAGCCCUAUAGAAAAAGCCAACCUAUUUGCCAAACACUUGAC